CGGGCCGUGUACUCCCAGAUGGCGUCCGGGUCGAGCAGGGCCUGAUCGCCGAAGUAGGCGCCGUUGGCGAGGACGCCGAGCACCGCGUCGUCACCGUAGGGGCCCGUGCCGAUCUUCUGCACCUUGCCGUGCGCGAGCAGGAACACCUCGUCGGCCUGGCUGCCGAACUCGGCGAGCACGUCCCCGGGCGCGAACCUGCGCUGCUGGCAGCGCUGGGCGAGCUCGGCGAGCACCUCCUCGUCCUCGUACCCGCGCAGGGCCGGCAGCUCGCCCAGUUCGGCCGGGAUGACGGUGACCUGGUCGCCGGUCUUCACGAACGUGACGCGGCCGUCGCCCACGGAGUAGGUGAUGCGGCGGUUCACGCGGUACGUCCCACCCUGGAUGUCCGUCCACGGCAGCAUCCGCAGCAGCCAGCGCGAGCUGAUCUCCUGCAUCUGGGGUGCGGACUUGGUGGUGGUGGCCAGGUUCCGUGCGGCCUCGGUGCCGAGACUCUGCUGCGGCUUGUUCU
This is a non-coding RNA of Streptomyces nodosus, 508 nucleotides long. Lineage: Bacteria; Bacillati; Actinomycetota; Actinomycetes; Kitasatosporales; Streptomycetaceae. The record is from Rfam.